RNAcentral lists this ribosomal RNA (35 nucleotides) under Megaspora rimisorediata. Its description in RNAcentral is "partial 28S large subunit ribosomal RNA". The record is from RNAcentral. Lineage: Eukaryota; Fungi; Ascomycota; Lecanoromycetes; Pertusariales; Megasporaceae.
GAUCAGGUAGGGAUACCCGCUGAACUUAAGCAUAU